This 65-nucleotide small RNA is filed under the name Paraburkholderia ginsengiterrae. RNAcentral describes it as "int-alpA RNA". It matches the Rfam family "int-alpA RNA". From Rfam's summary of the family: Acidobacteria (1 example), Planctomycetes (1 example), Proteobacteria. Environment (Lake Washington) The record is from Rfam by way of RNAcentral. Lineage: Bacteria; Pseudomonadati; Pseudomonadota; Betaproteobacteria; Burkholderiales; Burkholderiaceae.
GCCGCGCCUAGGCUAGCUACCAAACGUCGGGUCCCUCCCCGGCUGGCGCGGCUCCCCAAUGAGGG